UAAGGAAAUAUUGGUCAAUGGACGAAAGUCUGAACCAGCCAUGCCGCGUGGAGGAUGAAGGCCCUCUGGGUUGUAAACUUCUUUUAUAUGGGACGAAAAAAGAUCUUUCUAGAUCACCUGACGGUACCAUAUGAAUAAGCACCGGCUAACUCCGUGC
This 157-nucleotide ribosomal RNA is filed under the name uncultured bacterium. RNAcentral describes it as "partial 16S ribosomal RNA". It matches the Rfam family "Bacterial small subunit ribosomal RNA", at positions 354 to 508 of the family's 1533-position model. The record is from RNAcentral.